CAGCAGCCGCGGUAAUACGGAGGGGGCUAGCGUUGUUCGGAAUUACUGGGCGUAAAGCGCACGUAGGCGGCUUGGUAAGUUAGAGGUGAAAGCCCAGGGCUCAACCCUGGAAUUGCCUUUAAGACUGCCGAGCUAGUAGGUGAGAGAGGUAAGUGGAAUUCCGAGUGUAGAGGUGAAAUUCGUAGAUAUUCGGAAGAACACCAGUGGCGAAGGCGGCUUACUGGCUCAUUCUAGACGCUGAGGUGCGAAAGCGUGGGGAGCAAACAGGAUUAGAUACCCGCGUAGUCCCUGUCUCUUAUAC
Molecule: ribosomal RNA, 301 nt
Filed under: uncultured bacterium
Lineage: Bacteria
Description: partial 16S ribosomal RNA
Rfam family: Bacterial small subunit ribosomal RNA
Source: RNAcentral